CCUACGGGAGGCAGCAGUGAGGAAUAUUGGUCAAUGGGAGGAAUCCUGAACCAGCCAUGCCGCGUGCAGGACGACGGCUCUACGAGUUGUAAACUGCUUUUGUACCGGGGUAAAAUGCUCUACGAGUAGGGUUUUGAAAGUACGGUACGAAUAAGGAUCGGCUAACUCCGUGCCAGCAGCCGCGGUAAUACGGAGGAUCCGAGCGUUAUCCGGAUUCAUUGGGUUUAAAGGGUGCGUAGGUUGUUUUAUAAGUUAGCGGUGAAAUACCGAUGCUCAACAUCGGGGCUGCCGCUAAUACUGUAAGACUCGAGUUCAGACGAGGUAAGCGGAAUAAGUUAAGUAGCGGUGAAAUGCUUAGAUAUAACUUAGAACUCCGAUAGCGAAGGCAGCUUACCAGACUGCGACUGACGCUGAAGCACGAGAGCGUGGGUAGCGAACAGGAUUAGAUACCCCUGUAGUC
This 460-nucleotide ribosomal RNA is filed under the name uncultured bacterium. RNAcentral describes it as "partial 16S ribosomal RNA". It matches the Rfam family "Bacterial small subunit ribosomal RNA", at positions 338 to 795 of the family's 1533-position model. The record is from RNAcentral.